UCCAUGAAGCUGGAUUCGCUGUAAUCGCGCAUCAGCCACGGCGCGGUGAAUACGUUCCCGGGCCUUGUACACACCGCCCGUCAAGCCAUGGAAGCCGGGAGUGCCUGAAGUGCGUGAGCGCAAGCAGCGCCCUAAGGUAAAACCGGUGACUGGGGCUAAGUCGUAACAAGGUAGC
This 175-nucleotide ribosomal RNA is filed under the name uncultured bacterium. RNAcentral's name for it is "partial 16S ribosomal RNA". It matches the Rfam family "Bacterial small subunit ribosomal RNA", at positions 1317 to 1500 of the family's 1533-position model. The record is from RNAcentral.